Long non-coding RNA from Armigeres subalbatus, 1534 nucleotides. RefSeq lists it as uncharacterized. The record is from RefSeq and is a predicted model, not a curated record. Lineage: Eukaryota; Metazoa; Arthropoda; Insecta; Diptera; Culicidae. The transcript has 4 exons.
AAACCAGUUCCGGAAACAUCAAUAACGGACUUCUGCGCUUCACGAGUGUCUAAUUCCAAUGUUAAGCACAUCCCAGAAAGCUACUAGUGCAACACAGUUUUGCAAUCGGAUACUCCACGCAUUGCUCGAUCUAUUGGACACUGGAGAUAAGCAAAAUGAGACGUGUUUGAGUGCCAUUGCUUGUGAUUUUUCUCAUCGCACGAAGUAAAAUUUGGAGGACCUGUUCAAUGCUCACAUUGGCGACACGUCACACAUCAAUGGAUCUUGCAAAGUUUCAAAGGGUUGCUGCUAAAAAUUGCAUCCGGAAAUCGAUCACAUUUCCCUACAACUUGCAAGAGGAAGAACGUUCCUUUCACACUGCAUGUUGCUUCGUCUUUCGAUCCGGAAUCGUCGACUUGAAACUGCCUAUAAAGGAAAUAUAGAAUUGGGACCUAGUUAUUAUGUAUCGAAAUUUGUGUCGAAUUGAUAUUUGUACUAUCGCGAAUGACAGUAAAGUUUCCCUUCAUUGAUCAAGCAGUCGAUUACCAUUAAUUUUCCUAACUCCGUGUGUUCUUGAUAUGAGGUCGGAACUUCUAGACGCUCUCCAGAUUUGAUCAAAAGCACUAUCGAUCUCCUAGCAGGCGGUGAAGAACGGUAACUAGCUCUCGAACCAUCGGAGAAGAUUUUGUCAAAGCUGCGAGACCCUCACCUUAAGCACAUUCCUUAGCAGUGAUAGUGCUUCGGAAUCGAAAAGUUCUCCAGCAACAGUUCCAGUUUUGCCAUUGGGUGCUCUUGUAAUGCCCCGGAUUGCUGAUUCCAUUUCGCUAGGUCCCAACUCAUCAUAAUUGCACAGCAUUCGUGUAGGUAACUGACAGCCAUAAAAUACGGAGGACUGUGCAAGUGGAAUAAUUCAAGUUACUAAAAGCUCCAAACGGACGCACAUUUUCGGACAACACCAUCAGAAAGGUCUUGACGAUGUUAGUAAAAUGCAUGCUGCUUCGUUUGAUGCUCUCAAUCAUCAACUGGAAGUGGCCGUUAUGGCAACAAGAAGAACGACAGAGUAUUUCAUUAUAGAAGAAUCGCAAGAAGGAAACGGAACUGAGUGCGAAAGAAGUGUGGUGUGCUGGUACUCCUGUUUGUACCAAAAACUAAUUUGUUUUGCUACUAUAUGCUGCUGCUGAAAUAACUUCUAGAUCGAUUAGAUUGAUCUUUUUGCGCUCCGUUGCUCCAUUUAUUCGAUUGAUGCAACAAUAUACCUCCUUGUCCGGCACAGCUAUACAAUAUCAGCCGAGACAUUUGGCAUGUCGUCAAACUUCCACAUCAGCAUUUUAGAGCUUCCGGUACCUAUUUCGGUUAUUCGAAACUAUAUAAUGUUGCUGCUGAGGGAUGUUCUGGCAUAUUACAAUCGGUUCCAGCUGAAGAUUAUGUAGUAGUGUAGCUAAGUAUCCGGCAACAUGAAGGUUUGAAAAAUGAUCAUUGGAUCAUACUAUAUAAUGACAAAUGAAAUGAGCCUGAAAUCAAACCAAUAAAAGAUUCUACUAGGUAAACCAUCAAA